UACGUAGGGUGCGAGCGUUGUCCGGAAUUAUUGGGCGUAAAGAGCUCGUAGGCGGUUUGUCGCGUCUGCUGUGAAACUCAGGGCUUAACCCUGAGCCUGCAGUGGGUACGGGCAGACUAGAGUGUGGUAGGGGAGAUCGGAAUCCUGGUGUAGCGGUGGAAUGCGCAGAUAUCAGGAGGACACCGGUGGCGAAGGCGGGUCUCUGGGGCCGAUACUGACGCUGAGGAGCGAAAGCGUGGGGAGCGAACA
Molecule: ribosomal RNA, 249 nt
Filed under: uncultured bacterium
Lineage: Bacteria
Description: partial 16S ribosomal RNA
Rfam family: Bacterial small subunit ribosomal RNA
Source: RNAcentral